This 240-nucleotide unclassified non-coding RNA is filed under the name soil metagenome. RNAcentral's name for it is "partial contains 5.8S ribosomal RNA, internal transcribed spacer 2, and large subunit ribosomal RNA". The record is from RNAcentral.
AACCUUAUGGACCUGCGGGCGUAUACCUGCGGAGGGAUCAUCAUUGAAUCUAUAAAAUUUAUAUUUACACCCUUGUGAAUUUGGGGACGGUUGUUGACGGCUUUGCAAAUUUUUGUUUGGCUGUCGGGCUGGCCCCGAGUAUAUUUGCGUACUUGGCGUUGGUGGUAUCAGUGAAUUGCGUUGAUCAAGUUUUGACCAACGCUGCUGACCGCCGGCUUCAAGCGCCUGUUAAAUAAACAC